This is a long non-coding RNA of Maniola jurtina (meadow brown), 1560 nucleotides long. RefSeq lists it as uncharacterized. The record is from RefSeq and is a predicted model, not a curated record. NCBI's taxonomy places the organism in Eukaryota, Metazoa, Arthropoda, Insecta, Lepidoptera, Nymphalidae. The transcript is spliced from 3 exons.
AAACGCGCUGCAUCUUAGGCUGCAUCAUCACUUGCUGCAGGUCUGAUCGUAGCCAAGCGCUAGUUAAAGAUAAAAAAGUUUUCAGAUAGUAAAAUAAUAUAUUGUUUUAAAGUUUUGUAAUACAGGAAUUAGUCAUAGUUCAAGCGCACUAUAAACUAAACUAAAAGUUUAGUGCAUCUUCCUAUUUUGUUAAGAAAAGGGCAAUAAAUGUAGUCUUAAGUAAGCCUGUAUUGACACUACUUUGUAUGUAGUUUGUACAAUUUGAUGCCAUAUUAAAAGCUAAUUUUUUGAACACAAAACUAAAAGUAAACUAAAGUAAUGCUGUCUUUUUUACAAUAGUCAAUGAAGAAAACGACAACAGUAUAGUUGUUUACUUUUGUGUGCAAAAGUAUUAGUAACAUCAUGUAAAAUAUGAAUUAAUUUAAACCUUCGACAUAUUUGAUUUAGUUACUUAAGGAUUUAUCAAUUAAUCUGUCCAUAAUAAGUGAUACAUACAUACAUACCACUUCUGAUGUUCACAAACUGUUACUGGUCGUACUAAUGUCGUCCUUUUCACAAUGUUCUUUGUGAAUAAGGACAGAGCUAGUUUUUGGACAAGUUGUGUACAGAAGAAUUCGUAACUGAUGUCAAGCAAAACUAUUCGAUUUCAAUGUGACAUCACAACAAGCAAAGCAAAAAAGAAAGUUAUUUUUUUUAUAUAAAUAUUUAGGGUGCGUUUCCACUAAAACAGACACGAGCGGAGCGAAAACUAGACAUGCAAGAAUAGGCCAAUCAGGUAUUUGACGGAAAACUUGUCACGUCAGCUCACUAAAACGUUGAAAUGCCACAGUGUGCUACACAAUUGGCUCUAAUUGGCCGACACUCUCUCGCUAUUGGCUAAAAUGCAUACAAAAAUACUCUCAAUUCUUCCAAACACAGCACUUGAGACUGUAGCAAUGGAUCAUGCAGCUUUUUUGCAAUCGACCUACUGACUGGAAUAACUAUUCAUUAAUUUUAUUUAUCCAUCCAUAGUAAAUCCAAAAUUACAAAAAAAAAAAUUAAUUCCUGUCAAUCUGGCACCAGCUUAAACCACGUGGGUUUAUAUACUACAGUACUGAACAGUAUCUGCUCCAGUGGAAGGCAUUCUUAAUUUUUGCCUAGAGUCGAAACUAUUAGUCCAAUUUGUUAUUUCAUUUCCCUUUAUUAGAAGAUUGCUUUUGUAUGAAACCUGCGUAGGUAGGACCAAGCCAACAAUGUACUGUGGAAGUAGGAUAUUUCAAUCAAAUAUAGACUUUAAUCCAUUUACAUAAGAUCGUUUUUCGAACAAUUUUUUUACUACCGUUUACACACGUUCCGUCUUAGACACGAUAAGGAAUCGAUAAUUUUGCUUGCAAGUUUCUGUUAUUUAAGAAUGUAGUUCGCUUUAACAGUUUACCAAAAACUGUACAUAAAAGUAUAAUAAGUUUUUUACCACAUGUGGCAUUUUUAUUUAUAAGGACAUGUUAUUUUAAUUCGUACGUAAACCUAUUUAUAUAAAAUGUCGCAAACUGCUCGUUUGAAGGAAAAUAGCAAAAUAAUUGA